Molecule: small nucleolar RNA, 70 nt
Filed under: Apaloderma vittatum (bar-tailed trogon)
Lineage: Eukaryota; Metazoa; Chordata; Aves; Trogoniformes; Trogonidae
Description: Small nucleolar RNA SNORD99
Rfam family: Small nucleolar RNA SNORD99
About the family: The members of this family belong to the C/D class of snoRNAs which contain the C (UGAUGA) and D (CUGA) box motifs. Most of the members of the box C/D family function in directing site-specific 2'-O-methylation of substrate RNAs.
Source: Rfam by way of RNAcentral
CCUGGCCCGUGAUGACUCCGUUUUUGGAGACGGUCGGAUGAAUCCUGCGGAUAUGGGGCUGAGGCCAGGC